GCCCAAGAGAUCGGGAUAACACCUGGAAACAGAUGCUAAUACCGGAUAACAACAGAUGAUGCCUAUCAACUGUUUAAAAGAUGGUUCUGCUAUCACUCUUGGAUGGACCUGCGGUGCAUUAGCUAGUUGGUAGGGUAACGGCAUACCAAGGCGAUGAUGCAUAGCCGAGUUGAGAGACUGAUCGGCCACAUUGGGACUGAGACACGGCCCAAACUCCUACGGGAGGCAGCAGGU
This 234-nucleotide ribosomal RNA is filed under the name uncultured Lactobacillus sp. Its description in RNAcentral is "partial 16S ribosomal RNA". It matches the Rfam family "Bacterial small subunit ribosomal RNA", at positions 128 to 354 of the family's 1533-position model. The record is from RNAcentral. Lineage: Bacteria; Bacillati; Bacillota; Bacilli; Lactobacillales; Lactobacillaceae.